CCUACGGGAGGCAGCAGUGAGGAAUAUUGGUCAAUGGGCGGGAGCCUGAACCAGCCAAGUCGCGUGAGGGAAGAAGGUACUGAGUAUUGUAAACCUCUUUUGCCAGGGGACAAAGGCGGCCACGGGUGUCCGUAAGAGGGUACCUGGAGAAAAAGCAUCGGCUAACUCCGUGCCAGCAGCCGCGGUAAUACGGAGGGUGCAAGCGUUACUCGGAAUCACUGGGCGUAAAGAGUGCGCAGGCGGGCUUGUAAGUCAGAUGUGAAAUCCUGUAGCUUAACUACAGAACUGCAUUUGAAACUAUGAGGUUAGAGUGUGGGAGAGGUAGGGGGAAUUCUUGGUGUAGGGGUAAAAUCCGUAGAUAUCAAGAGGAAUACUCAGUGCGAAGGCGACCUACUGGAACAUUACUGACGCUCAUGCACGAAAGCGUGGGGAGCAAACAGGAUUAGAUACCCGAGUAGUC
Molecule: ribosomal RNA, 460 nt
Filed under: uncultured bacterium
Lineage: Bacteria
Description: partial 16S ribosomal RNA
Rfam family: Bacterial small subunit ribosomal RNA
Source: RNAcentral